CCUUCGGGUUGUAAAGCACUUUCGGCCGGAACGAAAUCGCGCGGGCUAUUACCUCGCGUGGAUGACGGUACCGGAAGAAGAAGCACCGGCUAACUACGUGC
RNAcentral lists this ribosomal RNA (101 nucleotides) under uncultured bacterium. RNAcentral's name for it is "partial 16S ribosomal RNA". The record is from RNAcentral.